RNAcentral lists this ribosomal RNA (253 nucleotides) under uncultured bacterium. RNAcentral describes it as "partial 16S ribosomal RNA". It matches the Rfam family "Bacterial small subunit ribosomal RNA", at positions 524 to 776 of the family's 1533-position model. The record is from RNAcentral.
UACGGAGGGUGCAAGCGUUGUCCGGAUUUAUUGGGUUUAAAGGGUGCGUAGGCGGCCCGUUAAGUCAGCGGUGAAAUCCCGGGGCUCAACCCCGGAACUGCCGUUGAUACUGGCGGGCUUGAGUUCGGUCGAGGCGGGCGGAACUGGUGGUGUAGCGGUGAAAUGCUUAGAUACCACCAAGAACCCCGAUUGCGUAGGCAGCUGACUAGGCUGGUACUGACGCUGAGGCACGAAAGCGUGGGGAGCGAACAGG